Molecule: ribosomal RNA, 234 nt
Filed under: uncultured bacterium
Lineage: Bacteria
Description: partial 16S ribosomal RNA
Rfam family: Bacterial small subunit ribosomal RNA
Source: RNAcentral
UGAGUAACCUGCCCUUAACUCUGGGAUAAGCCUGGGAAACUGGGUCUAAUACCGGAUAUGACUCCUCAUCGCAUGGUGGGGGGUGGAAAGCUUUAUUGUGGUUUUGGAUGGACUCGCGCCCUAUCAGCUUGUUGGUGAGGUAAUGGCUUACCAAGGCGACGACGGGUAGCCGGCCUGAGAGGGUGACCGGCCACACUGGGACUGAGACACGGCCCAGACUCCUACGGGAGGCAG